UACGGAGGGUGCGAGCGUUGUCCGGAAUCACUGGGCGUAAAGGGCGCGUAGGCGGCGCGGUAAGCGUGCGGUGAAAGCCCGGGGCUCAACCCCGGGUCGGCCGUGCGGACUGCCGGGCUCGAGCACUGUAGAGGCGGGUGGAAUUCCGGGUGUAGCGGUGGAAUGCGUAGAGAUCCGGAAGAACACCGGUGGCGAAGGCGGGUCUCUGGGCCGAUACUGACGCUGAGGAGCGAAAGCGUGGGGAGCGAACAGG
RNAcentral lists this ribosomal RNA (253 nucleotides) under uncultured bacterium. Its description in RNAcentral is "partial 16S ribosomal RNA". It matches the Rfam family "Bacterial small subunit ribosomal RNA", at positions 524 to 776 of the family's 1533-position model. The record is from RNAcentral.